UACGGGGGGGGGCAAGCGUUGUUCGGAAUUACUGGGCGUAAAGGGCUCGUAGGCGGCCAACUAAGUCAGACGUGAAAUCCCUCGGCUUAACCGGGGAACUGCGUCUGAUACUGGUUGGCUUGAGUGUGGGAGAGGGAUGCGGAAUUCCAGGUGUAGCGGUGAAAUGCGUAGAUAUCAGGAGGAACACCAAUGGCGAAGGCAGCUCGCUGGAACGGUACUGACGCUGAGGCGCGAAAGCGUGGGGAGCGAACAGG
This 254-nucleotide ribosomal RNA is filed under the name uncultured bacterium. RNAcentral describes it as "partial 16S ribosomal RNA". It matches the Rfam family "Bacterial small subunit ribosomal RNA", at positions 524 to 776 of the family's 1533-position model. The record is from RNAcentral.